RNAcentral lists this ribosomal RNA (2999 nucleotides) under Firmicutes bacterium ZCTH02-B6. RNAcentral's name for it is "bacterial LSU rRNA". It matches the Rfam family "Bacterial large subunit ribosomal RNA". The record is from RNAcentral. Lineage: Bacteria; Bacillati; Bacillota.
UGGUCAAGCGGACGAAGGCGUACGGCGGAUGCCUAGGCGCCAGGGGCCGAAGAAGGACGGGGCAAGCGCCGAAACGCCCCGGGGAGCCGCAAGCAGGCGUUGAUCCGGGGAUUUCCGAAUGGGGCAACCUGCCAGGGGGAAUGCCCUGGCAUCGUCACCUGAAUCCAUAGGGUGGCGAAGGGAACCGGGGGAAGUGAAACAUCUCAGUACCCCGAGGAGAAGAAAUCAACCGAGAUUCCCUAAGUAGCGGCGAGCGAACGGGGAAGAGCCCAAACUCCAGCCGUGUCAAGCCCACAGGCGUUGCGGCUGGAGGGUUGUAGGGGCUGCAGGAGGAGGCUGUGGACUCCUCACCGCGCCGGUCUUCCUAGUCGAAGAGGUCUGGAAAGGCCCGCCAUAGAGCGUGACAGCCGCGUAGGCGAAAGGGAGAAACGGACGGAGCAGAUUCCCUGAGUACCACGGGACACGUGAAAUCCCGUGGGAAGCUGGGGGGACCACCCUCCAAGGCUAAAUACCCACUGGCGACCGAUAGCGCAUAGUACCGUGAGGGAAAGGUGAAAAGCACCCCGGAAGGGGAGUGAAAUAGAACCUGAAACCGUACGCCGACAAACAGUCGGAGCCCUAGGCCGCAAGGCAGGGUGACGGCGUACUUUUUGUAGAACGGACCGGCGAGUGACAUCGCGGUGCGAGGUUAAGGGCUUCAGGCCUGGAGCCGCAGCGAAAGCGAGUCCGAAUAGGGCGUGAGUACCGUGAUGUCGACCCGAAGCCGGGUGAUCUACCCAUGGCCAGGGUGAAGCUGGGUUAAUCCCCAGUGGAGGCCCGAACCACGUGGACGUUGAAAAGUCCUGGGAUGAGCUGUGGGUAGGGGUGAAAAGCCAAUCGAACCCGGUGAUAGCUGGUUCUCCCCGAAAUAGCUUGAGGGCUAGCCUCGGGUGGUGAAACGGCCGGAGGUAGAGCACUGAUCGGGCUAGGGGCCCCAAAAGGUUACCGAACCCGUUCAAACUCCGAAUGCCGGUCGUGGAUGCCCGGGAGUCAGACAGCGGGGGAUAAGCUCCGUUGUCAAAAGGGAAACAGCCCAGACCACCAGCUAAGGUCCCUAAGUUCCGGCUAAGUGGGAAAGGAUGUGGGGUUGCUUAGACAGCCAGGAGGUUGGCUUAGAAGCAGCCAUUCCUUUAAAGAGUGCGUAAUAGCUCACUGGUCGAGUGACCCUGCGCCGAAAAUGUAGCGGGGCUCAAGCCGGACACCGAAGCUGUGGGUGCCAUCGUUCGAUGGCGCGGUAGGGGAGCGUUCCGUGCCGCGCAGAAGCGGUAGCGAAAGCCGCCGUGGAGCGCACGGAAGUGAGAAUGCCGGUAUAAGUAGCGAAAAGAAGGGUGAGAAUCCCUUCCGCCGAAAGCCUAAGGAUUCCUGAGGAAGGUUCGUCCGCUCAGGGUUAGUCGGGACCUAAGGCGAGGCCGAAAGGCGUAGCCGAUGGACAACGGGUUGAUAUUCCCGUACCACCGCGCGGGCGUCUGAGCAAUGGGGUGACGCAGAAGGGUAGGUACAGCCGGGUGCUGGACGUCCCGGUGCAAGCGCGUAGAGGGUGCGGUAGGCAAAUCCGCCGCACAAAACCUCAAGGCGUGACGCCGAGGGAAAUUGAGUACCGAAGUGGCCGAUCCCACGCUGCCAAGAAAAGCCUCUAGCGAGUCCGCCGGUGCCCGUACCGCAAACCGACACAGGUAGGCGAGGAGAGAAUCCUCAGGCGCGCGAGAGAACCCCUGUUAAGGAACUCGGCAAACUAGCCCCGUAACUUCGGGAGAAGGGGCGCCCUAGUAGGGUGAGCACCCCCGCGGUGUGAGCCCGAGGGGGCCGCAGUGAAAGGGCCCAAGCGACUGUUUAUCAAAAACACAGGUCUCUGCGAAGCCGUAAGGCGACGUAUAGGGGCUGACGCCUGCCCAGUGCCGGAAGGUUAAGGGGAGGGGUUAGCCGCAAGGCGAAGCUCCGAACCAAAGCCCCGGUGAACGGCGGCCGUAACUAUAACGGUCCUAAGGUAGCGAAAUUCCUUGUCGGGUAAGUUCCGACCUGCACGAAAGGCGUAACGACUUGGGCGCUGUCUCAACAGGGGGCUCGGCGAAAUUGUGGUAUGCGUGAAGACGCGCAUUACCCGCGGCUAGACGGAAAGACCCCGUGGAGCUUUACUGUAGCCUGGGAUUGGAUUUCGGUAUUGGAUGUAUAGAAUAGGUGGGAGGCUGAGAAGCCGGGACGCUAGUCUCGGUGGAGCCGCCGGUGGAAUACCACCCUUCCGGUGCUGAAGUUCUAACCACGAGCCGUAAGCCGGCUCUGGGACAGUCCCUGGUGGGCAGUUUGACUGGGGCGGUUGCCUCCUAAAAGGUAACGGAGGCGCCCAAAGGUUCCCUCAGCGCGGUCGGAAAUCGCGCGUGGAGUGCAAAGGCAUAAGGGAGCCUGACUGCAAGACAGACACGUCGAGCAGGGACGAAAGUCGGGCUUAGUGAUCCGGCGGUGCCGGGUGGAAGGGCCGUCGCUCAACGGAUAAAAGCUACCCCGGGGAUAACAGGCUGAUCUCCCCCAAGAGUCCACAUCGACGGGGAGGUUUGGCACCUCGAUGUCGGCUCAUCGCAUCCUGGGGCCGGAGUAGGUCCCAAGGGUUGGGCUGUUCGCCCAUUAAAGCGGUACGCGAGCUGGGUUCAGAACGUCGUGAGACAGUUCGGUCCCUAUCUGCCGCGGGCGUAGGAGAUUUGAGGGGAGCCGUCCCUAGUACGAGAGGACCGGGAUGGACGCACCGCUGGUGUACCAGUUGUCCCGCCAGGGGCACGGCUGGAUAGCCAAGUGCGGCAGGGAGAAGCGCUGAAAGCAUCUAAGCGCGAAGCCCCCCCCAAGAUGAGAUCUCCCACCGGUUCAUCCGGGUAAGACCCCUCGUAGAUGACGAGGUCGAUAGGCCGGAGGUGUAAGGGCAGCAAUGCCCUCAGCUUACCGGUACUAAUCGGUCGAGGGCUUGACCUCGCUUU